UGCCCCUGAGACAGGACCCAGAGUUUCGAGCAGACAAGAGAACUGAUGAGGAGAGGCUGCAGUGUGCAGAGACAAGUGAAUCAUGCUACGGGCUACAGCAAAUGGGUCAGCACAGCCAAUUCAGGAGGCCAGGAAGAACCCCAGUCAGCAGUUACCAGUCCAGGGAGCUGGUCUGUCCAGGCAUACUAUGAGGACAGAGUCUCCCGCUGUCCCCACGGGGACACCGUACUGGGGAAGAAAAAGGAAGCGCACACCCCAAAGGCUAGUUAUCCCAAGGGAUGGAUUUAUCCUGAAGAGACUUUCUACCACUCCAGAUGAAACCCAACCAAACUUGGAACAAACCACUUAAACGGAGAGGAGGCUGAGUAAACCAGAGGAGGCUGUGUAUUGUUUAUUGGCAGGUUGGAAUUUUCCUGUAUACUGACGGAUGAGACUUAUGAGGAACCAUGAGCAGCUCUGAAGAAAAAAAGAAGCUACACAUCUCAGUUUUGAUGAGGAAACUGAGGCUUGGAGAGACUUGGUUGAGAUCACAAGUCUAUCAAGAGUAGAGAUCCCACCAUUCAGAGCUGGAGGCAACCAUAACACCUGUGCUUCUCUCCUACCACAAUGUUGUCUGCCUGAAUGCCCAGCCCUGACGUAUGGGCGAAGCUUCAUUCUCUACAGCAGCAGAAGAGGAGGAUAACAUGGGACACUGAAAUACCAAGUGCAUAGUGGUGAGAAGAACCCUGUCACGGAGAGUGGUUAAGCAGCAUCUUGUUCAAAGUAAAUGCGCAGCUGAGCUGAAAUGCUCUUCCUGAGGGACUAAAUCCUAGUCCUCUGUCUGCUGACAGGUGUACAAGAGCAGGCAAGGCCUGGGCCCAGCCUCGGAGCUGGAAGUUGGGGGCCCACCUUCAAAAUGAGACAGCAAGUGUGUGGCCUCCAGAAGAGUCAAAGUCUAGAAGAGACCUAGACACACAGCACUCGAGAGGAGGCUUUAGGGGGUCCUUUUGUGUAGCCUCAAAGAGGAGUCAUGAGUCUGACGGUAUCUGAGUGGCCCAUUGGUAGACGAGGAGGACUAACAUCUCAGCAGGCCUGGAAAACCACCUUGUCAGCCUGCCCAUCAGGAGGACAGCAGGGGUGAGGCUUCGGGGUUGGUGACACUUCCCCAGCAUCAGUGUGGAGAGCGGGGUGGGGACAGUGUGGUCAGGCAGAGGCGACACUUUAAGGCUAUUAUCAUCCCCAGCUCCAGAAAAGAAACUCCUGGAAAACUCCCCCUGUGCACUAACACCCCGGCAGAGGCCUUGCAGAAGUGCCCUGUCUGGCUGAAUAGGGUGGCAUUUUAGAACUGGAGGAAUUAUACAGACCAAUCAACUCCUUUUACAAGGAGGUCAGUCAGAGGCUGGUGAGGCAAAGGCACUUAUUCAAGAUUGAUUAAUGAAUUAGAGGCAGAGCCAGAAUCAGAAUACAAAUUUCCUGCUGUGGGGAAAACUCCUGAAAAAGGCAGUGAUUACUUACAAAGAAAUGGACAUAACUCAAGAAACGUGAGAGUGUUCAAAGUAUGGGCGAGGGCUACAGUAGGUAAUAAAUCUCAAAAAUGAAACUCAUUUGCCCUAAAAUAAAAAACAUCAGAUGCACAAGCAAGGCAGGUUUAAUAAAGAUCUCAGCAUUUGUUACCCCACCUUCACUGCCAGACCCCCCACUUUCCCCACCGCUGACUGGAUUUUAAGAGUUCUUCCCCAUGUCAGGCACUUAAUGGACUUCUAGAGAUAAGCAGCCAGCAAGGCAGAGGAAGCC
Molecule: long non-coding RNA, 1773 nt
Organism: Manis pentadactyla (Chinese pangolin)
Lineage: Eukaryota; Metazoa; Chordata; Mammalia; Pholidota; Manidae
Exons: 3
Source: RefSeq, a predicted model, not a curated record